GCGGAAGUAGAAGAUAUGUAUUUACAGUAGUGCACUUUCGGCAUUAUCUAUCAAACUCUGGCUCUUGAUCGUCUUCUGCUCACUGAUGGAGGCCUAAUAGUCAGUUCCUGUUGUUUCUGUGAAGAGCUUCCCAAACCUAGUAGCACAGAGGAAGCCGUGAUCCAGUCACUUCCUCUGUGGUGCGAUUUGGGAGCUCUCUGUCUGGAUGGAAGCUGAAGGAAGAGAGAGGGUGCAGGAUUCUAGAACAAACAUGAGCACGUGUUGUUAACGUACACGUCCACCUUGUCAGCUCAAGCUUAUCACCUCUUCAUGUCACUAUUACUGCUUAGGUCAUUACUUUUUGCACUGAGCCUCAUGAACAGGGGAUGCUUUCUCUCCAUGUGGCCUAUGGUCAUCAUCUGGUCUCUGCUAUCAAGGUUCUCCAGCCUCCACAGCUGCACCUGUCACAACCAGGAUGAAAACCUUAAAUUCAGUAGCAUAUAAAGUAAAGUACAGACUGUGAGUAAGCUAUGAGAUGUCUUUCCUACUACACAUGAUGGUGCAGCAGAGGUUACUGUGGUUGGGUCAUCUGGUGGGUGUCAUCUUCAGCUUGGCUCUGGGCUUCUUGGAUGGCAGGACCUUGUUCUGGUCUAGCAUGCUGGUAAACUGAAAGCAUUAGAACCUAUCUGCAGCAGCAGUAAAAAGUAUUUAUAUUUAUAAAAAUUUCACGGAAUAAUAUUGAAAGAAACAUUGAAACGUACCAUUAAAACAUUGCAAGGCUUAACUUAAGUGAUGUUUUUAUAACUUAUAACUCCUAUAUCCUAUUUUAUCUUAUUUUAUAUACGCCAAGAUGGCGCCGCAGAUGGCAGCCUCGGCUCUUCGCUUUCCAGUACCCUUUACUUUUUUGCUGUUUUUAGUGUUUUUGUUUUAUUUUGUGCAACCACUCGUGGCUUCACGGAUUACCUACUCCAGAGAGGAAAGGAUGCAUGCGCUUCUGCUCCUCAACACAAAAAACAAGGACGCCCUCUGCUUCAAUGAAUCCUGGCUCAGUGAGAACAUGCCUGAUGCAGCGCUACACCCUUCCGGCUUCCAGCUGCUCUGCUCGGACAGUGUUAUGGAGCUUUCCGGGAAAACAAAGGGAGGCCGAACCUGCUUUUAUGUCAGCAAAGGAGUUUGCCUCGUUUGUUCUGGUCAGCGUUUUCAUCCCACCUCAGGCCUGUGUAACAACCGCGUUACAAAACCUGGCCGGCUACAUAACGGACGUGGAGAGGAAACAUCCAGACUCCCUGCUCAUCAUCACUAGUGACUUUAACAAAGCGAACCUGAGCCAGGAACUCCCCAGAAGCAUGAAGAAGCAGCCUAGACAUCUCUGUAGAUGCCUGCAAGGGCUGGAUGAGGCAUGAGAAGGGUUUUAUCCCCGCUGCCUGGCUACAGCUAAUAUAGGCUGUGAUGUGGACCAGAGUGUCUGGCCUGACCCAGACCAUCACGCUGAGGAGAACAAUGUCUGUUUUUAACAGCUUUGCUGUGUAUUACAUGAAGGAAUGUAAAUGCUCCAACAUUUACAUUGUGUAUUUUGGGUUCAUGUGACACACUUUAUAGAGGGGGAGACUGACAAAGUUACCAGUUUUGGAAAUAUUGCUUUAAGUUUUGAGCCCCUGUGUGUUAGACUAUUUUAAAGUGUUUGUAUGUUUGAGGGCUUGUGUGUAUUGGCUGAGGUCACUGUUCGGUUUUGACCUAAAAUAGAAUGUUUGGGUAAUUGUUAUGGAUUUGUGUUUACUGUUGUGAGAAUGCAACUCUCUUGGGGAAAACUGUACAUGAAUUAAGAAUUUUAGAAGUUUAGAAGUUUUUUUUAGUUCAUACAAUAGUUUGGUCAAAAUACAAAGCGACAGUACGGCAUUUCGGCAUUUUCCUUCUGUCAACACUGUUCAUACAGUGCAGUGAGACCACACUACCAAUAAUCAAUAAUCGGACUCCGAACAUAUAAGUUUAUUGUAACAAUCCUGUAAACUUGUGAGGUCACAGUACUGUUAAUGAUCUCGCCUUGGUCUGUUUCCUUCAUCUCCACUAACAAAUAUGACAAAGGUUUAAAUGAGAAUUGGCAGCAACAAAAUCCACUUGAAAGGCGAAUUGGAGAGGUUCUCUGUUGUCUCCUUCUCUCUGUUUAUUCAUGUGUAGUGUGGCUGUCAGGAUAUGAAAGGGGCUCCUGAUGAAUCUGAAUGGGCUCUCUGCUCCACAGACUAGGCCUCUGUUUUAGAGCCCGCUGCCACAGAGGGCGGACGGAGUCUCAGUGAAGAACGUACAAAGGUUGUGUUGUGAUUAUAAAUAUCGCUUUUGCUCUGCUUUGAUGGGUAUGUGCAUGACUAAUCCCUGUGUUAACUCCAAAUAUUACAUAAUGGGAGUAUUCCCUCCCUGCUCCAGUAACCAUGACGAUGGGUGUUCGCAGAAUAAACCAAAGAACAGUGGAUGCAGACAGCUUUUGAAUGGAACGAUGACGUAUCUGUAAAUCCAUAACUUUUUCUGUUGUGUGACUUGAUGCAAACGUCUGCGUGGAACAUCAUGUUUCCUGUAAAGGCAUAACCUUUAGAACAUGACAAACACAGCAUUGAAUGAGGUCAAUCCCCCCUGUGUGGUCUUGAACAUGAAGCUGAAAGAACACCUUUAAGUUCAGGACCAUCUUUUAACUUGAAUUACCACGAGACCUGUGGCUUGAUUAGCAGGAAGGCUGACUUCACCUCAGUGUGUAGGAGGGUGUGUAUCUUUCUGCCACUAUGCUUUCAUCACUGGUCACUUUCCAACCAAUCAUUAAAUAGUUGUUAUUUACUUAG
Betta splendens (Siamese fighting fish) is the source of this 2804-nucleotide long non-coding RNA. RefSeq lists it as uncharacterized. NCBI's taxonomy places the organism in Eukaryota, Metazoa, Chordata, Actinopteri, Anabantiformes, Osphronemidae. The transcript is spliced from 2 exons. The record is from RefSeq and is a predicted model, not a curated record.